UGGGGAAUAUUGGACAAUGGGCGCAAGCCUGAUCCAGCCAUGCCGCGUGAGUGAUGAAGGCCCUCGGGUUGUAAAGCUCUUUCACCGGUGAAGAUAAUGACGGUAACCGGAGAAGAAGCCCCGGCUAACUUCGUGCCAGCAGCCGCGGUAAUACGAAGGGGGCUAGCGUUGUUCGGAUUUACUGGGCGUAAAGCGCACGUAGGCGGACUUUUAAGUCAGGGGUGAAAUCCCGGGGCUCAACCCCGGAACUGCCUUUGAAACUGGAAGUCUUGAGUAUGGUAGAGGUGAGGGGAAUUCCGGGUGUAGAGGUGAAAUUCGUAGAUAUUCGGAGGAACACCAGUGGCGAAGGCGGCUCACUGGACCAUUACUGACGCUGAGGUGCGAAAGGGUGGGGGGCAAACAGG
RNAcentral lists this ribosomal RNA (404 nucleotides) under Actinomycetes bacterium. RNAcentral describes it as "Actinobacteria bacterium partial 16S ribosomal RNA". It matches the Rfam family "Bacterial small subunit ribosomal RNA", at positions 355 to 776 of the family's 1533-position model. The record is from RNAcentral. Lineage: Bacteria; Bacillati; Actinomycetota; Actinomycetes.